GAGCUCAGUUGGCAGAGCGUGAGACUCUCAAUCGAAGGGCAGUGGGUUCGAGCCCUGUGUUAGGCA
Non-coding RNA from Podarcis lilfordi (Lilford's wall lizard), 66 nucleotides. NCBI's taxonomy places the organism in Eukaryota, Metazoa, Chordata, Lepidosauria, Squamata, Lacertidae. The record is from the annotation of a GenBank genome assembly.